AAUGAACGCUGGCGGCGCGCCUAAUACAUGCAAGUCGAGCGAGAAGACGUAGCAAUACGUUUGUAAAGCGGCGAACGGGUGAGGAAUACAUGGGUAACCUACCCUCGAGUGGGGAAGUAACUAGCCGAAAGGUUAGCUAAUACCGCGUACGCUCCUUGGACUUCGGUUCAGGGAGGAAAGCGAUACCGUGGGUAUCGCGCUCUUAAGGUUGGGCUCAUGUCCUAUCAGCUUGUUGGUGAGGUAACGGCUCACCAAGGCUUCGACGGGUAGCUGGUCUGAGAGGACGAUCAGCCACACUGGCACUGCGACACGGGCCAGACUCCUACGGGAGGCAGCAGUAAGGAAUAUUGCGCAAUGGGCGAAAGCCUGACGCAGCGACGCCGCGUGGGGGAGUGAAA
RNAcentral lists this ribosomal RNA (398 nucleotides) under uncultured bacterium. RNAcentral's name for it is "bacterial SSU rRNA". It matches the Rfam family "Bacterial small subunit ribosomal RNA", at positions 29 to 413 of the family's 1533-position model. The record is from RNAcentral.